GGAUAGCUCCAGGUAACUGGAGAAUGGUCGAGGAGGCUUGACUGCCUCGGCCCCCAGGUUGGAUCACAAGUCCAGCAGGGGCAUGUCUCACCAAAUCCCGCGGCUGGGGUCGCACCCAGAAAAACAUCGGCAGAGUUGGAGUGAAAGCGAAGGCGAUGACGGUGUCCGUAGAAUGCGAAUUAGGGGUUUGCGAGGUUGGCAGCGAUAACUAAAGAAGCCGCAUGCUAACCAAGUCACGUUGGGGGGACGGUUUCGGUUCCCUUGGCGGACACAGUCGCUCCAAGAAAAGGGCGACGGUUGCUACUGUGAGAAGGUCAGGUGUUCGUGGUUGGUCUGGGUUGGGGGUCGUAAGAUCCUUGGUCCUAAGGUUUCCUCUAUGCGGGGGAAACGCGAAAAGGGCUGACGACGGGCAAACGGAGAUGGGAGAUCAGGCCGGCAGGCUUGGUCAACUGCCCAGCUCCGAGUUCGGGGGGCGGACCCGAGAGGGACGUCGCCCGGCUACGAGGAAAAAGCAACCUGAGAGGUAAGAAGCUAGACCCGUGGCAGAGGGCAAACGCGGCGCCAAAAGCGCUGGCCGUCCCUCUGACUCAAGGUGGUGACCCGCAAAACAACCCGUCACAGGGUAAUUCUCGUGGGUGGGUCAACACCGUGUGUGGCGCGCCCGUACCGGCAGGUACGGACCGAACCAGGCAAAGAGGCUUCACUCAAUAGAUCGCGAUCAGGGAUGGUCGCGGCGGCCCUGCUAUGAGGCCGAAACUUCUCCUGCGCCGUGAAGCGUGGGCGGUGAAUAGCGUCGGGGAACUGGCAGCCGAAGGAAAAAGCAGGAUGAAUCGAGAGAUUGGUCCAGGCGCCAAAUAGCCAGUCACUGGGAAAGAGAGCGUGGCGAACUCC
RNAcentral lists this small RNA (891 nucleotides) under marine eukaryotic metagenome. RNAcentral describes it as "MISL RNA". It matches the Rfam family "MISL RNA". The record is from RNAcentral.